Molecule: long non-coding RNA, 1409 nt
Filed under: Sus scrofa (pig)
Lineage: Eukaryota; Metazoa; Chordata; Mammalia; Artiodactyla; Suidae
Description: lncRNA (ENSSSCG00015055582.1)
Source: RNAcentral
GGGGGGAAAAUGAGAGAAUCAGGUCACUGAGCUGGAGCCAGGAAAAAUCCACAGGAGUGGAAAUUGGAGCGAUGAAAGCAUUUCAUAUUAACACAUCCAAAGCCUGAAUGGGCCCGGCCCAGAGGAUGUCUUCCCCCUCCUGGAAAGCGGCUGGGGGGCUGAAAGACCUCUAGGCUUUUCUCUGUCAAAUUCAUUCACUAAUCAGCGCUAUUCAGCCAAUCGCCCAUGUGGUCUUCUGCGCGGUGCCCUGCAAAGCGCCAGGACCACAUAGCAACGAUUAUAAUCAAAACCACUGGAGACUCUUAUGUCAGCUUCUGAAAUACGACGCUUCAAAGGCAGACAUGCCUCCAAUGAAAACCAGCACUUUCUUUCUCUUGCUUUCUUUCUGCCAAGUCUACAGUUUUAGAUUCAAGCACUUGAUAAUUAUAUAUCAAUAGAGACAGAAUGCAUUUUGCCUAAAGCAAAGACAUAAAUGGUUUUAAGGGCAGGCACAGUGUCACAUGUCAGUAGACAUUAGCUGAGGUUAAACUCUGCUGAUGUGACUAGAAUAUUGACAUCUCUGUUAGAGUCAAUAUCUCGAAAUUGACGGUGUGGCUUGGCAUACCUAUUUCCUUAAUGAUUUUCCAGUGUAAUACAAACAUAUCUAACAGCACUCCACACAUCUCAGGGGCUUACACUCCUGCCUCUCCUGUGUUCAUCAGACUGCCAAAGCUUUUUGUUAUCCAAACUUCAGCUGAAAGUGGGAUAUGAGGCACAAAGUACAAUCCUGAAAAUAUUGGCCAAAAAAAUAUGUUUCCCUCUCUCUCCCUACCUAGCUAUGUACCUACCUCUCUAUCUUCUAUCUUGUUUGUAUGGCUAAUUAUGCUGCACCUCAGUCACCCAACUCCAGGCAAGUUUCCUUGAGUACAGACACCCAGAAAAGACUGAGAGACAAAAACACAGAAAAACAUGACUUUGCUCAGCAAGAAAACCCAAGAGAAAUGUGCUUCUGUCCUCUGGUUUACGCAUUGAUCUCUGAUUUCCUGGUUCUCUACCUGCCCUGCUGCAGCUAGCCUCACCUCACGUGGCAAGUUGUUGAUGACUAAGGCGGAGGUUUUGUUUUAUUUUGUUUAUCUGGAUAAUUCCAGAUGUUAAUGACUUCCAAAACGCUUAUCCCUCUGUUUCUGCUCGGUUUGACUUUCUAAGUCCAUGCAUCCACUUAUGAUGCUACCUAGACCAUGAUUCUGAACUCUAGUUCUAUAGGAGAGUCUGACAGAGAGUUUUAAAAAUAUACUCAUCCCCAAGCAGUUGAAAUAGGUUACCUGGAAUAGGCUAACCAGUAUCCUUUAAUUAAAAAAAAUGGCAAAACUCUUGCCUAAACUACGUUCGGUUAUCUAUUGCUGUAUAAUAAACAACAUCCCUCAGGGCUU